CUCUCCCACUUUUGUCAUUACUCCUGUCAUUAGGUUAGAUAUAAAGAAGCACUUCUUUACUGUGAGGAUGGUGAGGCACUGGAAUGGGUUGCCCAAGGAAGUCGUGAAUGCUCCAUCCCUGGCAGUGUUCAAGGCCAAGUUGGGCGGAGUCUUGGGUGACAUGGUUUAGUGUGAGGUGUACCUGCCUUGGCAAGAGGGCUGGAACUUGAUGAUCUUAAGGCCCUUUCCAACCCUAACUAUUCUACAAUUCUAUGAUUACAGGGGAAUUUCUUAUCCAGCGAGGAAAGUGUCUUUAAGUCUCUGAGAUGAUGUCACAGGCAAGAGGAAAUCUCAGUGCACAGCCAGUGCAGUGAAAUUAAGGAUCCUCUAUGGGAAUUGACAGUUUUGACUAGCUGCUUCCAGGGAAAAGAGAGAAAUCCAAAUGACCCAAAUGAAGGUUUCUCUAUAGAGCAAAGAAAUUGGUGAUUAUGAGAGUAGAAGCACCCCUUUCUUUCUGCUGGAGUCAUCAGCCUUAAAGAAAAGGGAAGGGACAUAAACAAAAGAGGGCAAAAUGAAAAGGCACAAGGCAAAGUGCUGAGCCUUCACCUCUCAUCUUCAGAGACAGAAGGAGAAAGAAACUAUUGCUCUUGGCUUUAUUAUCUCCUUGCAUCUGUCUCACAUCUGUGACAGACCUACCCUUGCUUGCCCUGGUCUGGGAUAGCUGCAGGUGGCUGGUAUUUGCUGAGUUAAUUCUGGAUCCAGACUCUAUUUUCUUUGGUGAUAAACAGAUUUUUCAGCCCUCUUGCAUCACUUACUCCUUUUCCAUAUACCUUCUUGUCUGAACUGAUUCAACCAUCUGCUCUGUGGAAACAACAAAUAAUCAAAGUAAAAGAUUUGGGGUUUAAAAGUGUUUUUCUUUACAUGGUUUACAGUGUGACCACAAAAAAUAGUUGGAUAAGCUUAAGUGAGGCAGAAGUACUUUUUGGCAAUGAGAGAAGCAGUUGUGAACAGGGUUCAUUUAAACUGCCAUUGCUGUUAUAAUGCAGAUGAUACAUUAUACAGGGUUAGGUGCUGGUACCCAGAGUGCAUAGAUGAGCAGCAGAAACACUCUAAUGCUGCUUUCUUAAUCUGGUGGCUUUCAGGACCAGGACUAACCAGGAUCAUAUAGUAGAGAGUUUGCAAAAGCAACGUCAUGCACACAUCUUCCACAUUCCUAGACAGGCAGAUUUUACAGCUGGGACCCACCAUUACUGAGCUCAGCUUUCCCACACAACUCUUGUGGAUGUACUGACAUAGACCUGACAUGCUGGCUCUUGGUUUGAUGCCUUUUCAGCCAGAAUCUCCCUUCCACUUCUGCAACCCAACAUGCAUUUUUUUAUGGCUCCUCUUGUUUUUCUGAGCCUUAUGAGCCAACACGAGAUACUUUAUCAUGAGGUUUCUUUGUACUUUUUUUACAACAACAAUAAAGUUUGUUUUUACGUCAGCCUGCCCUGUUUAUUAAAAUCAAAUCCAUUGGGUUCACAUCCAUAUGGUCAAUCUCUUUUUGGUUCCUGACCCACGAAAUUCCUGAUAAUGAUGGUGACUGGCAUAAAGCUUGCCUAAUCACAAUAAAUCCUGUCCAGACUAAGGGCUCUGUCCUGCCCUUGGUGACCCUCUUACGCAUUGCAGCUUUUCAUGUAAGUUUAGACUAGUACUUUUUUAAUCCAGUCUUAUUCAAAACUAAGCAAAUCCCUGCCAUGAUUGUGAAAAUUGGCAGACAGAACCAAGCCAGAAUCUCAGGCAAAAUUAAAAGUGAACAACUUGUGUGAAUAGGCAAUGCGAUGCAUGGUGGGCAAGAUAAACUGCUUAGAAAGCCUGGAAUGGAGCCAUUUGCUUUAGUUAGCCAUACCAAGUGAUGUUAUCCAAGAACCUGGCUUGCUUUUUGAAAAGAAAUGUUUUGGAUGUGCUGGAGAAAUCAGGUGCAUAAAUUACCACUGCUCCUAUGACACUUAAACUUGAAUGACCAGUAUUCGUUCAGUCAACUACAAUAGGUCUCACUGUCCUUGGCAGGAUUACAGGGGUAAUAUUUUUUAACAUUGAUGAGCAGCUCUUGAACAGUUUCUCCAAUGUAUUAAGUCUGAAUGGGCUUUUCUUCAGUAUCAGGUGUGCACAUCUCCUCACACUCGUUUUUCUCCACCAGACAUAUUUAUUCUGAUGGAUAAAACUUCCCUUCCUAUAAAUGUUUGCCUUCUCCAUUCCUUUUAUGGGAACACCACAAACUGAUGGAGUGAUCUUGUUUCAUAUGCCUAGCCUGUCUUAUUCAUUUAUAUAAUCACAGAUGAUAUUCACUAUUGCUAGAGAAUAUUGUUAUGGCUUCUUCAUUGCUUGCAAAGGAACUUGUGAGCAAAGAUAAAUACAGGUUAUGAUAGAUACUCUGCUAAAGACUUUAUCCUGUAGUUUCUUACUGGCAAAAAAAAUCCCAAGGGAUUUUAUAGUACUCAAAAAUAUGUAAGCUUAGCUAAAAAAAAAAAUGCAGUAAAAUAUUGUUGACUUAUUCUGCCUUUAUAAAAAGUUUUGGGGGCCUUGAAAUAUCUAUCCUCUGCUGUCAGCUGGACACUAAGGACUUCAAACCACUAAAACAAACAAGAAUGUAACUGUCUUCUACGUAAGAAUAAUUGAUAGAACAACAUGACUGGUACACAGACCAUAUUAUCUCAACCUCUGUAUCUUAGGGUCUUCAUUUUCUGAAUGAGUACUGC
This is a long non-coding RNA of Neopsephotus bourkii (Bourke's parrot), 2717 nucleotides long. RefSeq lists it as uncharacterized. The record is from RefSeq and is a predicted model, not a curated record. Lineage: Eukaryota; Metazoa; Chordata; Aves; Psittaciformes; Psittacidae. The transcript is spliced from 3 exons.